AACGAACGCUGGCGGCAUGCCUAACACAUGCAAGUCGAACGAGACCUUCGGGUCUAGUGGCGCACGGGUGCGUAACGCGUGGGGACCUGCCCUUAGGUUCGGAAUAACUCCCCGAAAGGGGUGCUAAUACCGGAUAAUGUCUUCGGACCAAAGAUUUAUCGCCUUUGGAUGGGCCCGCGUUGGAUUAGCGAGUUGGUAGGGUAAAAGCCUACCAAGGCGACGAUCCAUAGCUGGUCUGAGAGGAUGAUCAGCCACACUGGGACUGAGACACGGCCCAGACUCCUACGGGAGGCAGCAGUGGGGAGUAUUGGACAAUGGGCGAAAGCCUGAUCCAGCAAUGCCGCGUGAGUGAUGAAGGCCUUAGGGUUGUAAAGCUCUUUUACCCGGGAUGAUAAUGACAGUACCGGGAGAAUAAGCUCCGGCUAACUCCGUG
RNAcentral lists this ribosomal RNA (433 nucleotides) under uncultured bacterium. RNAcentral describes it as "partial 16S ribosomal RNA". It matches the Rfam family "Bacterial small subunit ribosomal RNA", at positions 29 to 507 of the family's 1533-position model. The record is from RNAcentral.